Molecule: long non-coding RNA, 436 nt
Organism: Vicia villosa (hairy vetch)
Lineage: Eukaryota; Viridiplantae; Streptophyta; Magnoliopsida; Fabales; Fabaceae
Exons: 2
Source: RefSeq, a predicted model, not a curated record
GAUGCCGUUAGUUCCCGUUGGUUAUGAAGUGCUGCAUGAAUUGAAGUGUUUGGAAGUUUGUCAGGUCAUAUAGUGCAAGGAAUUAGCUAGGAGAUCAUGGAGAGGCUAUAAGCUUGAUUCAAAGAAUUUAGCAUGAGGGAACAUUGGCAAGUGAUGAAAUUGAAGUGGAAUGGUAGAAUAGAACUGUCAGUAGCUGGAUUAGUUUAAGAUUAGUGCAUUUGUGCGACUUGAAUUGUCAUGUAUGUAUUGAUUUUUAUGGUGGAACUUGGAUAUUGUAAGGAAUUGGAUUGGAUAUGAAAAUGUAACACUGUAACUAGGAAUUAAUUGAAUUAUGGACAUGGUUCAUGAAAUUGUAAUGAAACGGUUUGGCAAUGAAAUGGUUCUUCUUUUUGUAACUAUUUGACAUGAUGUGAUGAAGUGAUAAGAUUUCUUUAAA